This 305-nucleotide ribosomal RNA is filed under the name uncultured bacterium. Its description in RNAcentral is "bacterial SSU rRNA". It matches the Rfam family "Bacterial small subunit ribosomal RNA", at positions 339 to 659 of the family's 1533-position model. The record is from RNAcentral.
CCUCGGGGCGCAGCAGUGGGGAAUAUUGCACAAUGGGGGAAACCCUGAUGCAGCGACGCCGCGUGAAGGAAGAAGUAUUUCGGUAUGUAAAGCCCUAUCAGCAGGGAAGAAGAAAUGACGGUACCUGAGUAAGAAGCACCGGCUAAAUACGUGCCAGCAGCCGCGGUAAUACGUAUGGUGCAAGCGUUAUCCGGAUUUACUGGGUGUAAAGGGAGCGCAGGCGGCACGGCAAGCCUGAUGUGAAAGCCCGCGGCCCAACCGCGGGACUGCAUUGGGAACUACCGGGCUGGAGUGCCGGAGCGGCA